GAUGAAGAACGCAGCGAAAUGCGAUAAGUAAUGUGAAUUGCAGAAUUCAGUGAAUCAUCGAAUCUUUGAACGCACCUUGCACCCUUUGGCAUUCCGAAGGGUAUGCUCGUUUGAGUGUCAUUGUACUCUCACUCUCCCGAUGCUUUUGGAUCGGGAGUGGUGGACUUGGGUGUUGGUGCUUUGCUGUGGCUCGCCUCAAAUGGAGUAGUGCAACUCUUGGUUGGACAUAGUACGGCGUGAUAAGUGUCUUCGCCGGCGCCUCAUUAUAGAGGGUGGCCGAUCGGGAGCUCUGUGCUUCAAACCGUCUUCGGACAACAUCUGACAACUUGACCUCAAAUCGAGUAGGACUACCCGCUGAACUUAAGCAUAUCAAUAAGCGGAGGA
RNAcentral lists this unclassified non-coding RNA (384 nucleotides) under soil metagenome. RNAcentral's name for it is "partial contains 5.8S ribosomal RNA, internal transcribed spacer 2, and large subunit ribosomal RNA". The stretch from base 1 to 120 matches the Rfam family "5.8S ribosomal RNA", at positions 35 to 154 of the family's 154-position model. The record is from RNAcentral.